GUCCAGGCUAGCCUAGUGGUCAUGGCACUGCCCGGUAAGCGGAAGGUCGUGGGUUCGAUUCCCAUCCCUUGACA
This 74-nucleotide transfer RNA is filed under the name Cordylochernes scorpioides. RNAcentral's name for it is "tRNA-Thr". It matches the Rfam family "tRNA". Rfam says of the family: Transfer RNA (tRNA) molecules are approximately 80 nucleotides in length. Their secondary structure includes four short double-helical elements and three loops (D, anti-codon, and T loops). Lineage: Eukaryota; Metazoa; Arthropoda; Arachnida; Pseudoscorpiones; Chernetidae. The record is from RNAcentral.